UGGUUAAUAGCAUACUCAUUUGACGUUAGCUGCAGAAGAAGCACCGGCUAACUCCGUGCCAGCAGCCGCGGUAAUACGGAGGGUGCGAGCGUUAAUCGGAAUUACUGGGCGUAAAGCGCAUGCAGGUGGUUUGUUAAGUCAGAUGUGAAAGCCCGGGGCUCAACCUCGGAAUUGCAUUUGAAACUGGCAAACUAGAGUACUGUAGAGGGGGUAGAAGUUUCAGGUGUAGCGGUGAAAUGCGUAGAGAUCUGAAGGAAUACCGGUGGCGAAGGCGGCCCCCUGGACCAGAUACUGACACUCAGAUGCGAAAGCGUGGGGAGCAAACAGGAUUAGAUACCCUGGUAG
RNAcentral lists this ribosomal RNA (345 nucleotides) under uncultured bacterium. RNAcentral's name for it is "bacterial SSU rRNA". It matches the Rfam family "Bacterial small subunit ribosomal RNA", at positions 453 to 793 of the family's 1533-position model. The record is from RNAcentral.